This 253-nucleotide ribosomal RNA is filed under the name uncultured bacterium. RNAcentral describes it as "partial 16S ribosomal RNA". It matches the Rfam family "Bacterial small subunit ribosomal RNA", at positions 524 to 776 of the family's 1533-position model. The record is from RNAcentral.
UACGUAGGGUGCAGGCGUUAAUCGGAAUUACUGGGCGUAAAGCGUGCGCAGGCGGUUUGCUAAGACAGGUGUGAAAUCCCCGGGCUUAACCUGGGAACUGCGCUUGUAACUGGCAAGCUAGAGUGUGGCAGAGGGGGGUGGAAUUCCACGUGUAGCAGUGAAAUGCGUAGAGAUGUGGAGGAACACCGAUGGCGAAGGCAGCCCCCUGGGCUAACACCGACGCUCAUGCACGAAAGCGUGGGGAGCAAACAGG